Molecule: ribosomal RNA, 418 nt
Filed under: uncultured bacterium
Lineage: Bacteria
Description: bacterial SSU rRNA
Rfam family: Bacterial small subunit ribosomal RNA
Source: RNAcentral
AUUGAACGCUGGCGGCAGGCCUAACACAUGCAAGUCGAGCGGAUGAAGGGAGCUUGCUCUCUGAUUCAGCGGCGGACGGGUGAGUAAUGCCUAGGAAUCUGCCUGGUAGUGGGGGACAACGUUUCGAAAGGAACGCUAAUACCGCAUACGUCCUACGGGAGAAAGCAGGGGGACCUUCGGGCCUUGCGCUAUCAGAUGAGCCUAGGUCGGAUUAGCUAGUUGGCGAGGUAAUGGCUCACCAAGGCGACGAUCCGUAACUGGUCUGAGAGGAUGAUCAGUCACACUGGAACUGAGACACGGUCCAGACUCCUACGGGAGGCAGCAGUGGGGAAUAUUGGACAAUGGGCGAAAGCCUGAUCCAGCCAUGCCGCGUGUGUGAAGAAGGUCUUCGGAUUGUAAAGCACUUUAAGUUGGGAGG